Molecule: long non-coding RNA, 14089 nt
Filed under: Vitis vinifera (wine grape)
Lineage: Eukaryota; Viridiplantae; Streptophyta; Magnoliopsida; Vitales; Vitaceae
Description: long non-coding RNA (VVIN_LNC001428)
Source: RNAcentral
UAUGGUCCAUUUCAUGGUCUUGGGCAUCAACACCAUUACCAUCAAUAUGCAGGGUGGUGCCAUCACAGCUUCUCUCCACAUCAGUAUUAGUAUCUUCUACUGCUGAACUGGUGUCACAGCUUACUUCUACGUUGUACAAUUGUUAGAUUGUUCUGUUCAUAAUCGUGGGCAUAUAGAAAGUGGAAGCCACACCUCGCCGCUUUCACUGGUUUAAUACCGAAGUAGACAUUAAAUGAAGCGUUCAAGGUUCUCCAUUCAUUUGAGUGAUAUCUCUUGGGAAUACAUGACUUCGGAUAAUAUACGAAGCACCCUUGACUUGAUGCAUCUUCAUCAUAGCAGAAUUCACAAAAUUGAUCAAAGUGAUAGGAAAAAUAUGCAGAGUCAUAAUCGAAAUUCAAGUUACAGUUGAAAAUCCUAUGUGUUGUGGUCUCAAUCUCAAGUGGAACAUAAAGAGAGCACAGAACAAAGCCCAAGAAGUCAUCAUUUUCAUACCAACUCCAAGGAAGUUUCAUUGUUAUUUUGAACCCGCUUUUCUGAUGGCAUAUCCACUCCGGAAUCCCAUUUCUUUCAGCAAUAAAAGUUAUGAAAGAUCUUCUAAAUUCACGCUGCUGCACAAAAAUUACCCUCUGAAUUUUGCGUCCCCAUGAAAAGAAAGGUUAAAUGAUAUAUGAAAACCAUACCUGAAUUUGGGAUUUAAAACAUUUGAAUAAAGAAGACCAGAGUAGAUUUGAUUGACUGGAUAAAUUUUCCAGGGAUGUGCAGUGAUGGGCAUCUAGACACCUUAAACCUGAUGGAAGUUCUGGAAUAUGUUGAAGCAUCUUGCAGUGACCCAAGUCAAGAUGUUCUAGGUUAUAAAGUUGACUGAUCCCAUCAGGUAUGCGACUAAAGUGGUUCCCCCUCAGAGAUAAUGUUACCAGUGAUGAUAGGUAAUAAAUUUCACUGGGAAAUUCCCUUAGAUUGCAGCCUUUAAGCCUUAAUGUCCUCAAGGAGCAUAAACCGGACAAAGACGGCAAUUGAAAAUUCAUUGAAUCUAAAUGCCCAACACUAAGAUGAAGUAAAGAUUGUAGUCUCCCCAAGUUGUCUGGCAAUUUCUUGAAGUUUGGACAGCUUUCGACAACCAGAGUUUUAAAAGAUGUCAAAUUACAAAUACUCUCGGGAAGAUUCACAAGGUUUUUGCAGUUUCUCAGAAGCAAAUAUUGAAGCCCUCUUAGACGUUCAAUUGAUGAUGGUAUCUCUUUUAUGGCGGUUCCAUUUAAAUAAAGCUUUCUCAAGCUCUCCAUAUCUUGCAGGAUUUCUGGAAAGCUCUCUAGUUGUGAACAGCCAGAGCAGGAGAGAGUUGCAAGGGAUUUGAAACCAAAAAUGCUACUGGGCAGACUCGUAAGAUUUCUGCAAUCCCGCAGACAUAAACUAUCAAGUUCCGAGGGAUUCUUGAUAAUGGGUACUUCAUUCAUAUCACUGCCCUUAAAACAGCACUUCCGCCGAAGCGUCCCAUCCCGUUGGCAUGCCCUGCAUAUUCUAAUAUCUGCAUCCUCAUGGCUUUGUUGAAGGUCUUGGGAGUAUAUAAGGCGGACUCCACACUCCUUUACUUUCAAGACUUUCUCAGAAUUAACGUAAAAGUCGAAAAAGACAAACCUAAGGCGAGUCCAUUGAUCAGAGCAAAACCUUUCCGGAAUGGCUGCCUUGGGAUAGCAAAUCACCCACGUCUGACCUGAUACACUCUCAUUAUCUUCGUCCUUCUCUUCUUUAUAGCAAAAACAAUUGGAUUGAAACAAGGAACGAUCUACCAAUUCAACUCCAUCACCAAUGAUAACCAAAUCACACUGCAGACAACAAGAAUGUCUAUGUUUAUGUUCAUUCUUACGAAAAGAUUCAGCCACAGAUUUAUGGUCUGUUUCAUUCUCCCUUGUAUGAGCAGAUUCAUCCUCAGAUUUAUUGUCUGAUUCAAUCUUGGACCCGUGAGCAGAUUCUUUUUCGGGUAUGUCCUCAGAUUCGUAAGCAAGUGGAACAUAAACACAGCAUAUAGCAAAUCCCAAAAACUCAUUAUUUUGGUGCCAAUUCUGAGGGAGCUCUGUUCUUGUAAAAUGUCUAUUUGUCCGACCCAUAAUCCAUUCUGGAAUUCCAUCACUUCCGGGAAGAAAAAUGCAAGUUCCCUUGCCAUGGUAGGAAGAAUCACUAAAACUAGUGAGUUGCGAAUCCUGCACCAAAGCACCAUGUAAAUAUAGAGUCCGCAUAUAACCAGUGUGUGACAUGAAAAUCAUACCUGUGCCCAACUGAAACAAUUGACCAGAGAAUGCAAUGGCAAAAACGGGGCUCUUGAUGAAGUGUGAUUUGAACCAUGUGCAUCUAAAAGCUGUAGACGUGAUGGAAGCUCUGGAAUUUGUUCAAGAUUGUUGCAGUGACUAAGGUUAAGGGCUUUCAGCCUGGAAAGCUGAUUGAUGGUAGGAGGUAUGCUACUAAAAUGGCCCCCUUCCAGAUUUAGUUUCUGUAAUGAUGAUAAAUAGCAAAUAUGACUAGGGAUUUGGUGGAGCUUUGAACACUCUUGAAGUAGGAGAGUUUGAAGACCCUUAGCUUUCUCAUAUUGGCCAUGAUUUCUGGAAAUCUCUCUAGCUUUGAACAGCCAUUGCAAGACAAAGUUUGAAGGUGUUUCAACUUGUAAAUGCCUCCUGGAAGAAGCUCCAGGUUUACACACCCUGCCAGAUUCAAGGGAAAAAGAAAAACCAAGUUAGUUUUAGUAAUUAUAAUACUACUGCACCAAACUUUUAAGUACCGUUGUACAACCUUUUAGAGUUAGAAUCUCCAAGUUUGGCACACUUGAGAAGUCUGGGAUUCUUAUGAGAUGGACAGAGUGACUGAGAUCAAUAACCCUCAACUUGUCAUGAAGCUGUAACAAAAUAAUUUUUUUCAAUAGAUAAAUUUACAAGUUAAAAAUGAAUAUAAAAUUAAAUUGUAACUAAAUAAUAAUAACAAUACCUUAUUGCCCCUCCAAACUUGCUUUAUAUUGCUGUCCCUUAAUGAGAGUUCAACAAGGUUCUUUCCAUGAAAAUUCAUUGGCAAAGAUUCUAAAGGGUAUCCAUCCCAAUGCAGAUAUCUUAACUCAUAAGAAGAGAAUUCAAAGUCCCUUGGAAGGUGGUUUUCAAGAAAUAGCUUUCUACGCGGGUUAUGGAUUUUGAGCAAUCUAAGUCUAUUCAUCUCUUUGAAAGAUUCUGUAGUAAGCUGUAAUGGAUUAAAUUUACAUCCAUCUAAGAAUAGUCCUUCAAUUGCUCGUGUCCCCUGAAAAAUAUAAGACGAGUAGGUGAAACAAAAGAUGCAUUAGACUUAAUUGAGUUAUACACACGACUAAUUUCUGAAAAAAUAAUAAUAGUAUUGAAGCUUGCAUACACACGUAUAAACAAGUUUAUGCAUUUGACUCUUACUAUAUUUCUUAUUAGCACAUGAUAGGCAUCAUAAUCCCACAAUCUACUCCUUCUUCCAGGGUCUUCAGGGCAUUCUUGACGAAUAAUCUCCCAACCCAUUUGUUGUAUUAAAUCAUGCAUAUCUAGCAUGUUUUUUGAAACAGUUAUGAGACAUCUAUCAUCUAGAGUUGUUAUUGCGUGCUUUGCAUGAGGGCCCAAUAUUCUUGAAACAAAAUCUGUAUUAUAUCCUUUGAAAAAGCAUGCAACAUCCAAAAAUAUCCCCUUGUCUAUAUCAUCGAGUCCAUCAAAGCUUAUUCUAAGUACAUUGUGAAUUUCCAUGUGGGGCAUUAUUUUUAGCUUACACAGUGCACUUUCCCAAUUACUUAUUUUCUUUCCAAAAAGAGAAGCACCUAAAACUUUAAGUGCUAACGGAAGGCCAUUAGCAUAAUCUAUGAUAUUGUAUGAGAGGUUUUUAUAAACUUCUUGGGGACGAUUUUGUUUAAAGGCCCACAAACUAAAGAGCUCAAUAGCUUCUUCCUUGUUUAAUUCUGAAACCUCAUAUGGUACAUCCGCUCCAUAUUGAGCAAGCACGUGUUUGUCUCUAGAUGUAAUGAUGAUUGUACUUUUUGCAUGAAACCAAUCUUUCUCUUCAGCCAAAUAUUCUAGUUGUUUCAACUCAUCCACAUCAUCAAAAAUAACAAGAACUCUAUUGGAGCUUAGACACCUCUUUAUCAUACUAAUUCCUUCAUCAACAUUGUUUAUUUUAAAAAAAUUUCCCCUUAGGAUACCAUGAAGAAGUUCUUGCUGUAACUAAAGUAUAUUAUCACCUUUGGAUCUCUCUUUGAUAUUUAUAAGAAAGCUACUACCAUCAUAUUGAGGUGAGAUCUCAUUAUAAAUAGCCUUGGCGAUAGUAGUCUUCCCAGCCCCACCAAUUCCAUAUAUCCCUACGACGCUAACCAUAUUUAACUCAGUGUUCAUCAACGAUUUCAAUUUUUCCAAAUGAACACCAAUUCCAACUAUGUUCUUUCCCACACUUAAAGGUAGAUGGUUUAAUCUUCUAAUGAUUGUAUCAACAAUUUCCUUGAUAACCUCAGUCUCAUACCUGCCAAUCAUAUAAAUUAAGUAAAAUGAUGAGUUAGAAUGAGUUGCAAAAUAUAAUAAAUUUAAAAAAAAUUUAGUCGUGUAUGGCCGUGUCCAAUAUUAUUGAAUUAGUAGCAAUGGAAUGAAAAAGAAAGGGGUCAAGCCAAUUUACUUACAUAUUUAAGCUUCAAAUUUGUAAGUAUCAAACUACUAAUGUGCCAAGUUGCAAAUUUUCAAUACUCUUACUGUUAGAGCAUUGUGUAGGACUCCUCUAUGAACAAGCUAAUGCCUUCUUUCAACUUUUAUUUCACAAACAACUUGCUUAUGAUUCCUCAAUUUCACUUGUCUUUAGGUUUUAUUAACUUACCAAUACUUACCAAUGUUGCAAAGACUCUGUUUUUAGCCUGCCAAUUAAUUUUGCAUUUUCAUAGAGGAAUCAGGAAACGAGUGAAUGUGGAGAAUUUCAUGAUUUGCUUGUUGAUUGGGAACUUAAAUAUGAUUUGCUUUUGAGAAAAUUAUAAAAGGGUUAAAUUUUGAUACUUGUAUUUUUGGACCAACACAAGGGAAAAAUGAAAGUUAGAUUUUGUUAACAAUUUCAUACUUACUGGUCAUUCACAUGGCAUCCAGAUAGAUUAGCUGCUUCUCUCAAUGCAAUCCUCCACUUUUGUAUCAUCUCCAUCUUUUCUUGAUUUGCAUCUCUUUCAUGGUAGGCAAGUGCGUCUCCGAAACUUCCCCUUUGGUUUCGUACAUCAGAUGGAUCCACAUGGUAGAAAAUUGGUAGAACCACUGAUUCCUUUUGGCUCUUGCGUUCAAUGAUCUUUACGAGUUCAUUUAAACACCAUCUGGAGUAAGCAUAAUUUUUUGAGAAAAUAAUAAUAAAAAUCCUCGAUUCUUCGAUAGCUCUGAAGAGAUCAGAUGCAAUAUCUCCUCCUUUCUCAAGUUCCUCAUCAUCUCUGAAAGUUUGAAUUCCAGAUGCAGUCAAUGUGGUAUAUAGAUGAUCAGUGAAAUUUCUGCGAGUAUCGCCACCUCUAAAACUCAAGAACACAUCAUAAUUACGAGAAAUAGAAGUAGUCGAGGAAGAGGCUCUAUGGGUGCUGGAAGAAGCCAUUUUUGGAUGGCUUGAACCAAAAUUACAAGGGAGUUUGGAGGGUCCUUGGAUGCUCAAUGACUAUUGGCUUCAGACCUCUUCACCAUGAACAAAAAUCCAAGCUGGGAGGGAGGUUCAGCUGAAAAGUUUCAUCUGCAGUCGUAAAAGAAAAGAAAAACGUAUAUAAAGCCCUCUUUGAGAAAUUUCUUUGUAUAUAAAUUCUAAGAGAAACUCACACAUAUUUUACCUUUUGGUUGGGGAAGAUCCUUUCUCCAUUCCCUUUGUGUUGGAGACUGCAGUUAAGGGAUGUAGAGAAGAUGGCGGGGAAGACGGUGUGCAGGAUAGACAGGGGUUGAAGAAGAGGCGGUGGGUAGCAGAGGUCUCGUUGACUAGUGGAUGGAAUUCUAAUCUUUUUUUUUUUUUUUUUUUACCACUUACCUCCAACGGCACUGUAGAAUUUUCCAUAAUAUGAAUAUAUAUAUAAAAGAGAAUCUUAGUUGUACAACUUGAUCCUUAUUUAGUCUAUAUUAGUUCCUUUUCUAUGUAAUAUUUAUUUUGAUAUUUUAUAACUUGAAUUUAUAGAAUAUCUUUUGUUCAAUAAUUUUUUGUUUUAAUUUUUAUGAAAAAUAUCAAUUUUUAUAAAUAUAUCAAUGAAUCAAUUUUACGAAUAUAUUGAGAUAUAUCAAAAAAUAUUGAUGGAUAUUCUGAAAUAAAAUAUGAAUAAGACAAAAAUUAUUCAAAAUUUAUAAAAAUAUUUAAAACAAUUAUAAAAAAUGCAUAUAAGAAGUGACAAUAAAUACAUUGAUGUUGUUUUGUUAAAGAAAUGAAUAUAAGUAUGAUAUAAUUUAUAGCAUUCAAUAAUAAUAUUUAGAAUUUAAAAGUAAAUUUUAUAUAAAUGUAUCUAAUUUGAAUGUUUUUAAUAACAUAAAAGACAUGAUGAUAAAAAUAUUAAUAUUUUUUAUUUUGAAAUAUUAAUAAUUUUAUUUAUAAAUAAAAAUAUAUAUAUUAAUUUAUGCACAUGAAACAUUAUAUAUAUAUAUAUAUAUAUAUAUAUAUAAAAGAGAAUCUUAAUGUAAUGUACAUAAAUAAAUAUUAUAUAUAUAAGUUAUACAUAACGUUAUAAUAUUAACAAAGUUAGCUUGGUGGCGUGGUGCUCACUCUAUGCCUGAGGUCAUGGUUUCUCAAACCCAUCCUUCCACAAUGAUUUAAAUCCCUUUUUAAAGGUAAGAGGUGGGAUCCCACAUCGGUCAGCCACAACACUUAAAAACCUGCUCAUAGACCCUUUGGCAGGUAGCAAUGUUUGAAUGCGUGUGGUUGGCUGGGCCGACGUACACGUAAAAUCUUCCAAAAGGGCAAUUUAUCUCUUUGCCGAGAUAUCCACCUACCGCGCCCUCGUUUGGUGUAGGUAUAAUUUUACUGAAAAAUAUCGAUAAAGAAGAAUAUAUUGAUAUUAAUAAUUUAUUAUUUGUGUUAUUAAAUUAAUUUAUUUUAUAAAAUAUUAUAAUUUUAUUGUUUUUUAUUUUUUAUUUUAGUAAUUUUUGAAUAAACUUAUACUUCUAAUAUUUUAAAAUAAAAUUAUUUAAAAUUAAAUAGAAUUAAAAGGAUAAAUAUAUAAAAUUUAAAAGUAAAGUGAUAAUAAUUUUUUAAAAUAUAAUUAAUGAAAUAAAUGAUGAUAUAUUUAAUAUUAAAAUUAUAAUUUAUUUAAUUUAAAUAAAUUUAAUAAUGUAAAAUAAAUAUUGAUGUAUAUAUGAUUUUUUUAAUAUUCAUAUUUUUUAUAUUUAAUUAUCAUUAUUAAGAAAAUUAUAGAAAUGGUUUUUUUACUUUUAUUAAUUAAUUAAAAAAAUUUAAAUAAAAUAAUUAGAAUUAAUUGAUUUAUUCUUUUAAUAAUAAACUUUAAGAUAUUUAUUGUGAGUAUAUAUUAAGUAACAUAAAUUUAGCCCAGUGGUAGCUGUGCUCAUAUCCAAGCCUUUUGCUUGGGUUGGAAUCCCUUUGGCACAGGUGUUGGUAGAAAAAUUUCCUCCAUUUCGGGGAAAAACUCACCUUUUGGUGUGAAAUACUUUCAUUUAUGUAUAUAUGAUAUUGUUCUAUAUAAAAUAUUCAAGAAAAGUUUUUUGUUUCUUGUUUUCCUUACUUUUCCAACUAUUUAAUUCUUUUUAAAUACACCUUUGAGCCACUUCAAGGCAACAAUAAUCCAUGUAAUUAUUUUUAUUUUUUGUUUUUAUAAUAUGUGUAUGGCAUAGAUAAUGAAAUUUACAUCGAAAAAAGCAAUCAAGCCUUGCAUGUAGGGGUCUCCAAAAAGCCCGCGGCCCGCUUUAGGCCCGGCCCGGCCCGACGGGCUAAAGCCCGGCCCAAGCCCGCCGGGCCCGAGCCCGUUUAUGGGCGGGCCGGGCCGCGGGCCUAAAUUUAGGCCCGGCCCGUAGGCUUGGCCCGUAGGCCCGCCCUUAGGCCCGCCUUUAAUUUUUUUUAAAAAAAUAAUAUACUAUAUUUUUAUAUAUAUAUAACUAAUUCAUUUAAUAAGCACAAAAUAAAUGUAGCUCAGUUGGUUAGAGCCUUGAAAUUUAAGCUUGAGGUGAGGGGUUCGAAUCCCCCCCUCUUCCUUCCUUUAUUUAAAAAAGCCCGCGGCCCGGCCCGUCGGCCCGGCCCGCCCAGCCCGCCAGCCCGCUAGCCCGCGGGCUCAUAGGCCGGGCCGCGGGCCUCCUAUUUACGGCCCGGCCUGGCCCGGCCCGCCCGUUGGAGACCCUUACUUGCAUGUGAAGUUUCAUUUUCACAUUUUUUAUUUCUUUUCUAUUUUUAUGUUUUCCCCUAAGGCAUUAUCUAUCUAUCUAUAUAUAUAUAUAUAUAUAUAUAUAUAUAUAUUUAUACACAUCUCAUAUUUACAACUUUUUAUUUUUGCUUAACUUUCUUUUUCUUUUUUUAUUUGUAUUUAGUAACAAUGGGUUCAUUUGACAUUCAUUCCAAAGCCUCCUUUUUUGUCAUCAAAUUAUUCAAAUGAUGAUAUUAUAUAAGGAAUUUCAAUUUAUAAUACUUUUAUUCUUAAAAAAUAUUAUAUCUUUUUCUUUAAUAUUUACCCUUUAAUCAUUGUCGCAAAAUGAUAAGAUUGAAGUAAGUGCAAUUAUGCUUUAUUUGAUACUAAUAAGAAUUUCAAAAUCCCUUCACCUCAAGAUAUUGAAGUCUAGGUAAAAAAAAUAGAUGGAUAAAAGUGUGACAUAAAACUUUUCUUCUUUUUUCUUUUCCCAUUUGAAAGGUGUUUGUAGUUGAGGUUAAAAAAAUAUCAAGUGGCAUAACAAAAAUAUAGGAUUCACGAAAAGAGUCAAAUUAAAGGUUUUUGAUGACUAUCUUUGGCAUUUUGAUUUUUGUUUUUCUCCUUUUAACAUACAACAACCACUCUUCUCUUUUAGUACUUGUCUUGAACUUUGAUGACAAUUGUGCAAAGCCUUUUAUAGAGUUUGCUUGAAGGCAUAUUACCAUCAAAAGUUCAAUAAACCUAGGAAAUUUCAUGAAAAUAUUUUAUAUCAUUUCUUCAAAUUUAGAUCUUGGUAAGAAAUUGGUUUAAAGGGAAGCUACUAUCAAAGUUUAGAAAAUAGAAUGUCUUCCAUACUAUAUCUCAUGUUUAGGUAACAUGAAAAGAAUAAUACUUUUUUUUUUUUCAUUUUUCUUUUGUUCCUCUUCUUUUUUGGCAUUCAUUGGUGAUUAGUUAUAUACACAUAAUAUAAUUUUUAAAAGGAUUUCUUUUAUUUUUAUUUUUUCCAAAAUAAUAUUUGAGGAACCUUGAUUAUACCCUUUUAUUAUAUUUUCUUCAUUAAAAAAAAAAUUCUUUUAUGCAUGUUGUUCAUAUUAUAUAUGAUAAUUUAAUUAAAUUUUAGUUACAACUUUGAGCUAGUCGAAGCCCACAAAAUCCAUUUAAUAAUGUUUUUUUUUUUCAAAAUAUUUAUAUAGUUUGAGGUGCCAAAUAUAACAAUAAAAGAUCAAUGGAUAUGAAUAAAAAAAUGACUAAAAGUAUACAAUAGUUUUCCCUUUUACGUACUUACUUUCUAAUUUGGUAGCUCUUUUGCACUCUUAUGAAAACUUUUAUAAAUCUUUAUGUCAAAUUUGUAUGAAGGUAAUCUAUAUACAUGUGUGUAUAUACAUAUCACUUAAUGAUAGUUGGCUUCAUAUGGAAAAAGCAAAUAUUGCCUCCUAACUUUAUUAUUAUCGUAAUGUGAUAUUUUAUCUUCCAAUUUUACUUUCAUCCCUUGGCAUUUAAUACUAUGCUAUUUAUAAUACUUUCUCUUUUUUCUUAAAACGUUUUUUUUUAUUUGAAUUUAGUAACAAUGGGUUAACUUGACAUUCAUUCCAAAGCCUUCUUAUUUGUUCUCAAAUUAUUCAAAAGAUGAUAUUGAAUUUAUGAAAUAGAUGUUUGUAAAAUUUAUGUUAAAUGAUAAUAUUUUUUAAGAAAAAAUAUCAUCUCCUUUUCUUUAAUAUUUAUCCUUUUGUCAUUACUACAAAGUAAGUGCAAUUAUGCUUCAUUUGAUGAUUAAUGAAGAAAAAAGUUACUUUUUUGAUAUUAAAUAUUUAUCCUUUAAUUAUUUUUGCAAAGUUAAAUUAGAGUUUCAUGAAUGCCUUUUCUACUACAAUUAUGAAAUUCGAAAUUUAUUGGCUUGGUACAUUGAAAUCUCUCAAAGAAAUUGAGUUCAUGGAAAAGAUAAGUAUCAGUAUUGAAAUUCAAAUUAAUAUUUGUAACUUAAAGAUUUCUUUAAGCAUUAAAGUUUAGUGUUAUAUUAUAAUAGCAACUAAAAAGACAUUUUUUUGCUCAUUUUCCCCAUUUAUUCUUUUGAAAGUAUAAAAAUAUUAAGAAAAAACUUCAAAAUAUGACAAGAUAAAAAUACUUUGAAAAAUAUAAUACGUAUAAUAUUUUUUGUGAUAUUUUGUGAUAGUAUAUAGAAUUUAAAAACAUAUUAUUAUUAAAAUUAUAAUAUAUUUAGUUUGAUUAUAUAAAAUAAAUGAUAAUAUAUGUAUAAAUAUUUUUAUUUAAAAAUAUUGAUAAUUUUAUUUUUUAUUUAAAUAUUAUACAAAAGAUACUAAUAUAGUUAAAAUUGAUUUUUAAUUUAUAAUAUAUUUAUCUAUAUAUUUGUAUUAUAUAUAGUUUAGACGUGUAAUAUAACCAAAGUAGUAGUUUGGGUGGUGCACGAUUACUGCGCCCUCAUGGGCUGGCUUUAUAUAAAGCCCAAUAGGAGAACUUUUUUAAAGUAAAAGUGAUGCUGACAUUCGGAGCGUAUUUUCAACAUUGGUGGGAUGACUUCAAGCACUCUUUGCUUUUUUCAUUUUAUAAGUCAAGAAUUUGAUGAUUAUCUUUCACUUUUUUUUUUUAUUGCUUUUCUCAUCUCUACAUUCGACAGCCAAUCUUAUUGCUUCUAGUGGUUUUCUUAAGCUUUGAUGAAAACUACCAUCCUAAGCAUCCAAAGUUCAAAGAAUCGGGAAACUCUACAUGAAUUUCACAUAAUCCCUUGAAAUUUAGAUCGUGCUAAGAAAUUGGUUUCAAGGCAUGCUACUACUAAAGUUUAAUAAACCAAGGAAAAUGAAAGACAUUUCACACUAUUUCUCGAAAUUUGGAUCCUGGUAGAAAAUUUCUAUCAAGAUAGGCCAAAAACAAAAUUGAAUAAAUCAAGGAAAUUAGCAUGAUGACAUUUCACACUAUUUAGUUACAUGAUUGCUGGGUAUUAUCCAAAAUUCAAAAGACCAAAGAAAAUUUCCUUUCUAUAGUUGGCUUUAUGUAGAAAAAGCAAACAUUGUCUCAAUUUUUAUAUUGAUGUAAUGUUUAUUUGUUGUUGUCAUGCAUUCAAUAUAUAAACUACUACAACUACUACCACGUUUCCUCUCUAUCAUUGGCUUAAGUUAAAAGAAGCAAAUCUUGUCUCAUUCUUAUACAAUCAAUAAUAUACACUACUACUACUACUAAUAGCAUACUACUAUUACUACUACUAUACUAUUUCUACUACUAGUAGUAUACAUUCUAAUUCUUUAUAGUAAUGUAAUAUUUACUACCACUAACUACACAUUCUAAUUCUUUACACUACUACUACUACUACUAAGCGUCCUACUAUAAUUACUAUUAGUAGUAUAAUGCUAUUACUACUGCUCCUACUAUUAGUAUACUACUAUUACUACUAUUAGUAGUAUAUUACUACGCCUACUACUAGUACGCAUUCUAAUUCUUAAUAAUAAUGUAAUAUUUAUUCUAAUUCUUUAUAGUAAUGUAAUAUUUAUUUAUUUUUAUCAUGCAUUCAAUAAUAUAUAUUCAAUAAUAUAUACUACUUCAUUACUACUACUAGUACUUCAUUUGACAUUUAUUUCAAAGCCUCCUCAUGCAUCCUCAAAUUAUUCCAAUAUAUAUAUAUAUAUAUAUAUAUAUAUAUAUAUAUAUAUAUAUAUAUAAAAUAAUAAAAAUUUUAUAAAAUUAAUGCGUACAAAAAUUAUAUGAAAAUAUUCAUUAUUUAAAAAAAAAAUCUCACCCCAUUUUCUUUAAUAUUUGAUGACAAAUAUAAUAUAGUUAAAAAGAGUACACUAUUGUACAAAUCAUGUAACUUUUAAAGUAUCUCUAUUUAGGCCUUGCUUGAAACCAUAGAAUAAAGCAUAGGAAUGAGUUAAUGUGCUUGGGUUGUUUUUAGAAUAAGAAUAGGAAUAAAAAAUCAUUGUUGUGGAAACCAAAUUCCAUUAUCACUAGGAUUUUGAUUCCUUUAUCUUAUCUUACAUGGGAUUAGGAUUCAUCCUAUCCUCAUUCCUAUUUUCAUGUAUCAAACGAAACCUUAGGCUAUGUUUGGCGUGUGGGAAUUGAGAUGAGAAUAAACACUUUGUUUCCAUUCUAUUUAAUCUUGAAUAAAAAUAAAUUUGAUAAUUUCAAUUCUUGUAUUUGGAUGCACUUAUAAAUGGAAUGUUGGAAUGAUCAUUUGUUUUCAUUUUAAUGUUUGAUAACAUCAUGUAUGAAAUUAAUUUUCUCAUUAGAACAACAAAAACCUUAGUUAUAGUAUAAUGAAAAGUUUAAUAAAGUUGAAAGGAGGAAAUCAAUAAAGAAAUGAUAUUUUAACUUUCUUAAGUUUUGUACACUUCUUUUUAUAUUAAAUUCAAUUUUUAAAUUUGUAAUUAUUUAACCAAAUCCAAAACAAUAUACUUAGCUUCAAUUUAUGUUUCCAACUUGUAUAUGUUAAUAUAAGACUUAGUGGUAGUAAAGUAUUUGAACCAGUAACCUAUAGAGCAAAUUUGUCUACUUAAACUAGUACAUUGACAAUCUCAUCCUUUGAAAAUUUUGGAACAAUACAAAAUAUUGCAAUACAACCCUCUAAAACUCUAAAAUUCAGAUCCUAAAGUCACUCGACCUAAUCCUUACCAAAGAUCACUCACUAUAAAUAACACCUUCUUAUAUUUCUUUUUUUUUUUGCAUGAAUAUGUCACCGCAUAACACCUUCUCCUCUUGAAUUUGAUUCCUUGUUCUUAAUUUGACAUUCUUUUUCCCUUUUAGAUUUGAAAAAAAAAAAAAUCAAAUGGAAUAGCAAAUUAAAAAAUGGUGUGAAUUCAACUUGAUAAGAGUUUAAUCAAAAUUGGAAAUUUGCUUGUAAUAUCUAACUUGCCUUAAUGAAUAAGGAUGUAUGGGUUGAUCAAUUGAGCUUUAGGCCCUUGAAUAAUCAUCUCAGCUUUCACUUUCAAUUGCUUGAGAUAUUUCAUUUGGAUAUCAAUCAAACCCAAGGUUGAGACAUUAAAUUGUACGUGUGUUAGUUUUUAUAAUAAACUAGUUUCACAAAAUGGUUGAUGCUUCAAAAGUGAUAACUUAGUUAACAAAUGCAAUGCCAUAAUUUUAUAUUUUUGCUCAUUUGAUGUAUGUGGGAACAAAAACUAACAUGGAUCUUAAAGUAUUCCAAAACAAAAUACUUGAAAUUGAAAUAUUCUUUUCCACCUAAUUUGAUUGCUCAUUCUAGAUUGGAGAUUCUAUCUCUUUACACCAAGAAUUAUAUAUAGUGCAAGAGUGUGAGUUUAAAUUGGCAUCACUUUAAUCAAAAUCUAAGAUUGGGUUGAAGUAUUUGACUUGCCUUGAUUAAUAAGGACACCCAUGGCUCAACUGAUGGAGGUUGGUGUGUACUAACUUAUCCAACAAAAUGUUUAAUCUGCAAAAAAAUUAAUACAAUCAAGCUUGUCCUAGAAAUGCCCUAAAAUGAGUCCCAAUAAAAAUAGGUUUUGAAAAAAAAAAAAAAAAAAACAAAAAUUCAGUAAAAGGAAUUUCAGCCCCUUGGAAUCAGCAAGGCAUAUAUAAUAGAAACUAAGAAAAGGAGGACGGCUUAAUUAUUACCAAAAAGUUGAGAUAAAUGUUUGGUCAACAUCAACAAUUCUCUUACUUGAAAUUAGUGUCUUGUACAGCAUAUCCAAUGAACAAAUUUGCAAAGAAGCUCCAGCCACCUGUGCAUAUGGUCCAUUUCAUGGUCUUGGGCAUCAACACCAAUACCAUCAAUCAGGGUGGUGCCAUCACAGUGUCUCUCCACAUCAGUAUUCGUAUCUUCUACAGUUG